This 62-nucleotide transfer RNA is filed under the name Aquilegia coerulea. RNAcentral describes it as "tRNA-Gly". It matches the Rfam family "tRNA", at positions 1 to 62 of the family's 71-position model. Rfam says of the family: Transfer RNA (tRNA) molecules are approximately 80 nucleotides in length. Their secondary structure includes four short double-helical elements and three loops (D, anti-codon, and T loops). The record is from RNAcentral. Lineage: Eukaryota; Viridiplantae; Streptophyta; Magnoliopsida; Ranunculales; Ranunculaceae. RNAcentral also lists the same sequence under 2 other names.
GCGGAUAUGGUCGAAUGGUAAAAUUUCUCUUUGCCAAGGAGAAGACGCGGGUUCAAUUCCCG